Molecule: ribosomal RNA, 213 nt
Filed under: Triticum aestivum (bread wheat)
Lineage: Eukaryota; Viridiplantae; Streptophyta; Magnoliopsida; Poales; Poaceae
Description: partial small subunit ribosomal RNA
Source: RNAcentral
AUGAGCAACACCACGGUCAACGAGAAGGUGCUCGGGGAGUGCCUCAAUGAGAUCUCCCGCGCGCUCCUGCAGUUCGACGUCCGGAAGAUCGUCAACCUCGAGACCCUCGCCGCCGGCACCAACAUGCAGCGCAUCAUACAGCAGGCCGUCUUCAGGGAGCUCUACAACAUGCUGGAUCCAGGGAAGCCGGUCUUCAACCCCAAGAAGGGCUAG